Small nuclear RNA from Rhinopithecus bieti (black snub-nosed monkey), 106 nucleotides. The record is from Ensembl. NCBI's taxonomy places the organism in Eukaryota, Metazoa, Chordata, Mammalia, Primates, Cercopithecidae.
GUGCUCGCUUUGGCAGCACAUAAUACUAAAAAUGUGGACAAUACAGAGAUUAGCAUGGCCCCUGUACAAGGAUGACAUGCAGAUUCAUAAAGCAUUCCAUAUUCAA